This 253-nucleotide ribosomal RNA is filed under the name uncultured bacterium. RNAcentral describes it as "partial 16S ribosomal RNA". It matches the Rfam family "Bacterial small subunit ribosomal RNA", at positions 524 to 776 of the family's 1533-position model. The record is from RNAcentral.
UACGUAGGUGGCAAGCGUUGUCCGGAAUUAUUGGGCGUAAAGAGCGCGCAGGCGGUCGGAUAAGUCGAGUGUGAAAGCCCCUGGCUCAACCAGGGAGGGUCAUUCGAUACUGUUCGAUUCGAAGGCAGGAGAGGGAAGUGGAAUUCCGGGUGUAGUGGUGAAAUGCGUAGAUAUCCGGAGGAACACCAGUGGCGAAGGCGACUUUCUGGCCUGUUCUUGACGCUGAGGCGCGAAAGCUAGGGGAGCAAACGGG